This 146-nucleotide small RNA is filed under the name Halalkalibacter okhensis. RNAcentral describes it as "Bacillus okhensis c-di-AMP sequence". It matches the Rfam family "c-di-AMP riboswitch aptamer (ydaO/yuaA leader)". Rfam says of the family: This family represents a conserved RNA structure found upstream of the ydaO and yuaA genes in Bacillus subtilis and related genes in other bacteria. The ydaO/yuaA element is thought to act as a genetic "off" switch for the ydaO and yuaA genes in its native state. It is believed that the element may be triggered during osmotic shock leading to activation of ydaO, a predicted amino acid transporter gene, and members of the yuaA-yubG operon which code for KtrA and KtrB K+ transporters. The record is from Rfam by way of RNAcentral. Lineage: Bacteria; Bacillati; Bacillota; Bacilli; Caryophanales; Bacillaceae.
AACCUUUAGUCGCUUAAUCAUGUUUGAGCGGGGGAACCAACUUUGGUGGAUAUCUUCCAUCUUGGGGUGAAUCUUACAUAGUAAGAGGGGAUACUCUUUAGUCCCUAAUCCGACAGCUAACCUCGUCAGCGUUUAGAAGAGAAGGG